RNAcentral lists this ribosomal RNA (486 nucleotides) under Conwentzia sinica. RNAcentral's name for it is "partial 16S ribosomal RNA". The stretch from base 352 to 486 matches the Rfam family "Bacterial large subunit ribosomal RNA", at positions 2473 to 2609 of the family's 2925-position model. The record is from RNAcentral. Lineage: Eukaryota; Metazoa; Arthropoda; Insecta; Neuroptera; Coniopterygidae.
CUGAAUUUAUUUAAAGGGCCGCAGUAUAUUGACUGUGCUAAGGUAGCAUAAUCAUUUGUUUUUUAAUUGAAAACUAGAAUGAAUGGUUUGAUAAAAAAUAAACUGUCUCUAUAUAAAAAUUAUAAAAAUUUAAAUUUUUAGUUAAAAUGCUAAAAUUAUAAUAAAAGACGAGAAGACCCUAUAGAUCUUUAUAAUUAGGUUAAUUAAUAUUUUUUAUUUUUAUAAAUAUUUUAAUUGAUUAAAUUAUUUAAUUGGGGUGAUUAAAAAAUUAAAUAAACUUUUUUAUUUAUUUAAUAUUAAUUAAUAGAUGUUUGAUCCUUUAUUAAGAUUAUUAGAUUAAGUUACCUUAGGGAUAACAGCGUAAUUUUUUUGGGGAGUUCAUAUCUAUAAAAAAGAUUGCGACCUCGAUGUUGAAUUAAAGUUAGUUUUAGGAGUAGAAAUUUAAAAUUUUAGUCUGUUCGACUAUUUAACUUUACAUGAUCUGAG